Molecule: ribosomal RNA, 374 nt
Filed under: uncultured organism
Description: partial 16S ribosomal RNA
Rfam family: Bacterial small subunit ribosomal RNA
Source: RNAcentral
GAGGGGUGCAAGCGUUAUUCGGAAUCAUUGGGCGUAAAGGGUGCGUAGACGGCAUAUUAAGUCAACUGUUAAAUUUUCCGGGCCUAACCGGGAAGCCUGCGGUAGAUACUGGUAAGCUUGAGGAUGGAAGAGAGAAGUGGAAUUCUCGGAGUAGCGGUAAAAUGCGUAGAUCUCGAGAGGAACACCAAUGGCGAAGGCAGCUUCUUGGGCCAAUCCUGACGUUGAGGCACGAAAGCGUGGGGAGCAAACAGGAUUAGAUACCCUGGUAGUCCACGCCGUAAACGAUGAUCACUAGACGUUGGUUCUGUUUUACAGAAUUAGUGUCGCAGCUAACGCGAUAAGUGAUCCGCCUGGGGACUACGGUCGCAAGAUUA